GGAGCCGUGGCUCAGCGGCAGAGCCUCUGCUUGGAAAGCAGGAGGUCCCAGGUUCGAGCCUUGCCAGCUCCA
Molecule: non-coding RNA, 72 nt
Organism: Gekko japonicus
Lineage: Eukaryota; Metazoa; Chordata; Lepidosauria; Squamata; Gekkonidae
Source: the annotation of a RefSeq genome assembly